RNAcentral lists this unclassified non-coding RNA (253 nucleotides) under uncultured Cyclobacteriaceae bacterium. Its description in RNAcentral is "contains 16S-23S intergenic spacer region". It matches the Rfam family "Bacterial small subunit ribosomal RNA", at positions 524 to 776 of the family's 1533-position model. The record is from RNAcentral. Lineage: Bacteria; Pseudomonadati; Bacteroidota; Cytophagia; Cytophagales; Cyclobacteriaceae.
UACGGAGGGUGCAAGCGUUGUCCGGAUCUCUUGGGUCUAAAGGGUGCGUAGGCGGCUAAUUAAGUCAGUGGUGAAAGCCCGCAGCUCAACUGUGGAAUUGCCAUUGAUACUGACUAGCUUGAGUUUGGUUGAGGCAGGCGGAAUGGAUGGUGUAGCGGUGAAAUGCAUAGAUGUCAUCCAGAACACCGAUAGCGAAGGCAGCUUACUGAGCCGAAACUGACGCUGAGGCACGAAAGCAUGGGGAUCGAACAGG